RNAcentral lists this transfer RNA (80 nucleotides) under Streptomyces acidiscabies. RNAcentral describes it as "tRNA-Gly". Lineage: Bacteria; Bacillati; Actinomycetota; Actinomycetes; Kitasatosporales; Streptomycetaceae. The record is from RNAcentral.
GCGCCGGUGGCGAAGGCGUCGGACCUGCUGCUGCCGGCGGCGGUGGGGACGGGGUUGGCGUUCGACACGGCGUGUGCGCC